Molecule: ribosomal RNA, 1563 nt
Filed under: Triticum aestivum (bread wheat)
Lineage: Eukaryota; Viridiplantae; Streptophyta; Magnoliopsida; Poales; Poaceae
Description: partial small subunit ribosomal RNA
Source: RNAcentral
AUGAACCUCGUCGGCUACCUCAUGGUCUACCUCGCCGUCGACGGCCGCACCGCCCGCCCGCCCGUCUGGCUCGUCUGCCUCUACAUCUUCAUCGGCGCCAACUCGCAGUCCUUCGCCAACACCGGCGCGCUCGUCACCUGCGUCAAGAACUUCCCGGAGAGCCGCGGCAUCGUGCUCGGGAUACUCAAGGGCUUCGUCGGCCUCAGCGGCGCCGUCUACACGCAGCUCUACCUCGCCUUCUACGGCGACGACACCAAGUCGCUCAUCCUCCUCAUCGCGUGGCUGCCGGCGGCCAUCUCCGUCGUGUUCGUGCACACCAUACGGAUCAUGCCGUACCCGCGCCGCCGCGGCGGGCAGGAGACCAGCGGCGACCCCUUCUUCUGCUUCCUCUACAUCUCCAUCGCGCUCGCCUGCUACCUGCUCGUCAUGAUCGUCGUGCAGAAGCAGUUUACCUUCUCCCACGGAGCCUACUCCAUCGCCGCCGCAGCGCUGCUCAUCGUCCUCUUCCUCCCGCUCUGCGUGGUCAUCAAGCAGGAGUACAAGAUUUACCGCGAGCGCGAACUGGAGGCCGCCCUCCUCGCCAACGACCCGCCGCCAACCAUCACGGUGGCUGGCGAGCCAGCACAGGUCGAAAUGUCCACCGGCGCCAAAGCAGAGCAGCAGGCAUCGUCGGAGCAGCCGCCGCCCUCUUCGUGCUCUUUCGGCGGGUGCGUGAAGAACAUGUUCCGGCCGCCGGCGAGGGGGGAGGACUACACGAUCCUGCAGGCGCUGGUGAGCGUGGACAUGCUGGUGCUGUUCGUGGCGACCAUCUGCGGCGUCGGCGGCACGCUGACGGCGAUCGACAACAUGGGCCAGAUCGGGCAGUCGCUGGGGUACCCGGCCAAGAGCAUCAACACCUUCGUGUCCCUCAUCAGCAUCUGGAACUACGCCGGCCGCGUCACGUCAGGCUUCGCCUCGGAGGUCUUGCUGGAGCGGUACAAGUUCCCCCGCACGCUGAUGCUCACCGGCGUGCUCCUGCUCGCCUGCGCCGGGCACGUCCUGAUCGCGCUCGGCGUGCCGCAGUCGCUCUACGUGGCGUCCGUGAUCAUCGGGUUCUGCUUCGGCGCGCAGUGGCCGCUCGUGUUCGCCAUCAUCUCCGAGGUGUUCGGGCUCAAGUACUACUCCACGCUCUACAACUUCGGCGGCAUGGCCAGCCCCGUGGGGUCCUACAUCCUGAACGUGCUGGUGGCCGGGAGGCUCUACGACGCGGAGGCCGACAAGCAGCCCGGCGGCGGGUUCACGGCGGGAGGCGGGCGCGACAAGGUGUGCCUGGGGGUGGAGUGCUUCAAGCGGUCGUUCCUGAUCAUCGCGGCGGCCACCGUGUUCGGCGCGCUGGUGUCGCUGGUGCUGGUGUGGAGGACGUGGAGCUUCUACAAGGGGGACAUCUACGCGAGGUUCCGGGACGGCGCCGGCGAGAGACACGACGGCCGCCUGCCCGUCGGCCAAGGCCGGAAGCCGGCGGAGGAGGAGUCAUCCCCAGUCAAUGCCACAAAGGUGGAAGCUCAGAAGGCUUUGCAGGCUUGA